GCGGAUGCUGUGACAAGGGGCGGGCGAGGGAGGGCUCCGCGUCAGGGGCAGACAGCUCCAGGUGCUGGAGGCUGCCGCGCGGAGAGGUCCGCCCAGCCAGGAUGUGCGUUGUCCUGAGAAUCGAAUUACCCGGAACCCCAGAGCUCACCCUCUCUGAAGGAGAGCAGGUGCCUCCUGAGAGCAGGGCUUCUCUACCUUGGGGCACUAUGAACAUUCUGAGUGGGGCGCCCUGAACGAGUGCCCAGAUGCUUGUGAGGCCCAGAUCUUGGGGUGUGCAGCCAGGAAGGGCUCUGCUAGCUUUCCCACCUCCCUCCUGACCUCUUCUGCCCCUCACUGGACCCAGCCCGUUGGCUUCAGGAUGGGCCCCACGGGACAUGCUUUCAUGGAACCUGAGGAAAGAAUGCACUUACAACAGCGCCGGGAGCACAGAGGCUUCCCACUACCCUUUCCGAGAAGCACGUCUAUUUUCUCUAAUUUAUUCAGUGCCGCUGUGCGUGUGUGGCCUCUCAGGGCCCACUUUGUUCAUCUCUGCUCACUGGGGGAGCCAGGACACGGAUCCAGGUUUUCUGACUCCAGGUCUCAGGCUUGCUCCAUAGCGCCACCUGCUGGUAGGCACCCAAAUCAAGACUCAGAUUUCCUCAUCUCAGAAGUUGUCCACUUCUUCUCCGACCUCCACGGUAACUCGGAACCACACCGUGGAGUUAUCCCUGUGUCCUCUUUCUCGGAAGUUCCACAUCCAACCCCUCAGCAGGUCUCAGCGGCACUCUCACCACCUCCUCUGCUCUGUUCCUGUUUCUCUUGGAUGGUCGAAUGUUUCCUAAGGAGUGUCUGCUGCUUCACGCUUGCCCCCUGGAGUGGCAUCUAAAAGGUGCA
RNAcentral lists this long non-coding RNA (873 nucleotides) under Homo sapiens (human). RNAcentral describes it as "long non-coding RNA NONHSAT173017.1". Lineage: Eukaryota; Metazoa; Chordata; Mammalia; Primates; Hominidae. The record is from RNAcentral.